Molecule: ribosomal RNA, 600 nt
Filed under: Goussia sp.
Lineage: Eukaryota; Apicomplexa; Conoidasida; Eucoccidiorida; Eimeriidae
Description: SSU rRNA
Rfam family: Eukaryotic small subunit ribosomal RNA
Source: RNAcentral
GAGCGACGGGUAACGGGGAAUUAGGGUUCGAUUCCGGAGAGGGAGCCUGAGAAACGGCUACCACAUCUAAGGAAGGCAGCAGGCGCGCAAAUUACCCAAUGAAAACAGUUUUGAGGUAGUGACGAGAAAUAACAAUACGGAGCAUUAAAUGUUUUGUAAUUGGAAUGGUGGGAAUCUAAACCCCUUUCAGAGUAACAAUUGGAGGGAAAGUCUGGUGCCAGCAGCCGCGGUAAUUCCAGCUCCAAUAGCGUAUAUUUGAGUUGUUGCAGUUAAAAAGCUCGUAGUUGGAUUUCUGUGUUGGCUUUCGUGUACGCCCGCUUAAAUGUGUGGGUGCUUACUUACGUUGACCAAACAUUUUUCGAUGUUUUAUAUUUCUUGACCGCGCCUCAUUAAUUUGGGUGUGUGUUGGGAAUAUUUGACUACCAUCAGAACUUUUACUUUGAGAAAAAUAGAGUGUUUCAAGCAGGCCUGCCGCCUUGAAUACUGCACAUGAAUAAUAAUUAGACUUUGGUUCUAUUUUAUGGGUUCUAGAACUAGAUAAUGAUUAAUAGGACAGUGGGGGCAUUCAUUUUCGGUCAGAGGUGAAAUUCUUAGAUUUGA